CAAAUUCGGUAGACGCUACGGACUUAAAUAAGUAAUUUGAGCCUUGGUAGAAAAACUUACUAAAUGCUGGUUCAAGUCCCUCUACCCCCAAAACUAUUAAUAUUUUUUUUUAUUGACAG
Molecule: transfer RNA, 119 nt
Filed under: Dicranella heteromalla
Lineage: Eukaryota; Viridiplantae; Streptophyta; Bryopsida; Dicranales; Dicranellaceae
Description: partial tRNA-Leu
Source: RNAcentral